This 1322-nucleotide unclassified non-coding RNA is filed under the name Hevea brasiliensis (rubber tree). The record is from RNAcentral. Lineage: Eukaryota; Viridiplantae; Streptophyta; Magnoliopsida; Malpighiales; Euphorbiaceae.
AACAAAGUGAACUAUGUUAAGGGCUAUGGUAAAUUCCUCUCCCCUUCCGAAGUUUCUGUUGACACCGUGGAAGGUGGUAAUACUAUUGUUAAGGGGAAGAAUAUCAUAAUUGCGACUGGUUCUGAUGUCAAAAGUCUACCUGGGUUAACCAUUGAUGAAAAGAGAAUUGUAUCAUCUACUGGAGCUUUAGCUUUAACUGAAAUCCCUAAAAAACUGGUUGUUAUUGGUGCUGGCUACAUAGGCCUCGAAAUGGGAUCUGUCUGGGGCCGCCUUGGCUCAGAGGUGACUGUUGUUGAAUUUGCAUCUGAUAUUGUUCCAACCAUGGAUGGUGAAGUUCGCAAGCAAUUCCAACGUUCUCUUGAGAAGCAAAAGAUGAAGUUCAUGCUUAAAACUAAGGUGGUGUCAGUUGACACUGUUGGCGAUAGUGUGAAGUUGACCCUUGAACCUGCCGCGGGUGGUGAGCAGACUACUCUUGAGGCUGAUGUUGUUCUUGUUUCUGCUGGUAGGGUUCCCUUCACUUCAGGACUUGGACUGGACAAGAUAGGUGUUGAAACUGACAAGGCUGGUAGGAUCUUGGUCAAUGAACGUUUUGCCAGUAAUGUCCCAGGGGUAUAUGCAAUUGGUGAUGUCAUUCCGGGGCCAAUGCUUGCUCACAAGGCAGAGGAGGAUGGUGUUGCUUGUGUGGAAUUUAUUGCAGGCAAGGAAGGUCAUGUGGACUACGAUUUGGUUCCUGGUGUUUGCUACACUCACCCAGAGGUGGCUUCCGUUGGGAAAACUGAAGAACAGGUUAAGGCCCUUGGAGUUGAUUAUCGCGUAGGCAAAUUUCCAUUCCUUGCAAACAGUAGGGCCAAGGCAAUUGACGAUGCUGAAGGUAUUGUAAAGGUAAUUGCUGAGAAGGGAACCGACAAAAUCUUGGGCGUCCAUAUUAUGUCAUCCAAUGCAGGUGAGCUUAUUCACGAAGCAGUCCUGGCUUUGAAUUAUGGAGCAUCGAGUGAAGACAUUGCUCGUACAUGCCACGCACAUCCUACAAUGAGCGAGGCUCUGAAAGAAGCUGCCAUGGCCACUUAUGACAAGCCCAUUCACAUGUAGAGGUAGCGUCAGUCAUAUCAUUGUUUUUUAUUUUCCUUCGAGUAUCUCAAAUACUUGAAGCAGAUUUUCUAAUUGCCAUAUCAAGUAUAUCUGGAACACAAGUUUCUUCCCCCUCUCCUCUCUUAAUUGGGUACACUCAAAACCACCUCAAAGUUCAUGUUUCUCUUCUGCAUAUUCAUUACUGUAAUAAAGAUACAAGUUGCAUGUCGAGUUUAAAUGCCAUCAAUGGUGAG